UUGACCUCGGAUCAUGU
Molecule: ribosomal RNA, 17 nt
Filed under: Rhizoplaca melanophthalma
Lineage: Eukaryota; Fungi; Ascomycota; Lecanoromycetes; Lecanorales; Lecanoraceae
Also listed under: 1 other name
Description: partial 28S ribosomal RNA
Source: RNAcentral